RNAcentral lists this ribosomal RNA (361 nucleotides) under uncultured bacterium. RNAcentral's name for it is "partial 16S ribosomal RNA". It matches the Rfam family "Bacterial small subunit ribosomal RNA", at positions 338 to 696 of the family's 1533-position model. The record is from RNAcentral.
CCUACGGGAGGCAGCAGUGAGGAAUAUUGGUCAAUGGGCGAAAGCCUGAACCAGCAAAGUCGCGUGGAGGAUGAAGGUUCUAUGAUUUGUAAACUUCGUUUAUAUGGGAGUAAAUUGGUGAGCGUGUUCGUUUUUGUAUGUACGGUAUGAAUAAGCAUCGGCUAACUCCGUGCCAGCAGCCGCGGUAAUACGGAGGAUCCGAGCGUUAUCCUGAUUUAUUGGGUUUAAAGGGAGCGUAGAUGGGUUGUUAAGUCAGAUGUGAAAGGUUGCGGCUCAACCGUAAAAGUGCAGUUGAUACUGGCAGUCUUGAGUACAGAUGAGGUAGGCGGAAUUCGUGGUGUAGCGGUGAAAUGCUUAGAUA